RNAcentral lists this ribosomal RNA (465 nucleotides) under Vreelandella stevensii. RNAcentral describes it as "partial 16S ribosomal RNA". It matches the Rfam family "Bacterial small subunit ribosomal RNA", at positions 338 to 795 of the family's 1533-position model. The record is from RNAcentral. Lineage: Bacteria; Pseudomonadati; Pseudomonadota; Gammaproteobacteria; Oceanospirillales; Halomonadaceae.
CCUACGGGGGGCUGCAGUGGGGAAUAUUGGACAAUGGGCGAAAGCCUGAUCCAGCCAUGCCGCGUGUGUGAAGAAGGCCUUCGGGUUGUAAAGCACUUUCAGUGGGGAAGAAAGCCUUGGGGCUAAUACCCUCGAGGAAGGACAUCACCCACAGAAGAAGUACCGGCUAACUCCGUGCCAGCAGCCGCGGUAAUACGGAGGGUGCGAGCGUUAAUCGGAAUUACUGGGCGUAAAGCGCGCGUAGGCGGUCUGAUAAGCCGGUUGUGAAAGCCCCGGGCUCAACCUGGGAACGGCAUCCGGAACUGUCAGGCUAGAGUGCAGGAGAGGAAGGUAGAAUUCCCGGUGUAGCGGUGAAAUGCGUAGAGAUCGGGAGGAAUACCAGUGGCGAAGGCGGCCUUCUGGACUGACACUGACGCUGAGGUGCGAAAGCGUGGGUAGCAAACAGGAUUAGAUACCCUAGUAGUC